Molecule: non-coding RNA, 125 nt
Organism: Triticum aestivum (bread wheat)
Lineage: Eukaryota; Viridiplantae; Streptophyta; Magnoliopsida; Poales; Poaceae
Source: Rfam
AAACUACUCCCUCCGUCCGAAAAUACUCGUCUAAGAAAUGGAUGUAUCUAGAUGUACUAUAGUUGUAGAUACAUCCAUUUUUAUCCAUUUCCGUGACAAGUAAUUCCGGACGGAGGGAGUAUAUU